This 3975-nucleotide long non-coding RNA is filed under the name Equus caballus (horse). Its description in RNAcentral is "lncRNA (ENSECAG00000051794.1)". Lineage: Eukaryota; Metazoa; Chordata; Mammalia; Perissodactyla; Equidae. The record is from RNAcentral.
GCUCCAAGGGGGGCUGUGGAUCCUGUGGGGGCUGUGGAUCCUGUGGAGGUUCCAAGGGGGGCUGUGGCUCCUGUGGGGGCUGUGGCUCCUGUGGGGGCUCCAAGGGGGGCUGUGGAUCCUGUGGGGGCUCCAAAGGCAGCUGUGGCUGCAGUGGGGGAUGUAAGGGGAGCUGUGGCUCCUGUGGCUGCUCCCAGUCCAGCUGCUGCAAGACCUGUUGCUCCCAGUCCAGCUGCUGUGUCCCUGUUUGCUGCUCCCAGUGCAGCUGUUGCAAACCCUGCUGCUCCCAGUCCAGCUGCUGCAAGCCCUGCUGCUCCCAGUCCAGCUGCUGUGUCCCUGUUUGCUGCUCCCAGUGCAGUUGUUGCAAGCCCUGCUGCUCCCAGUCCAGCUGCUGUGUCCCCAUUUGCUGCCAGUGCAAGAUCUGAGACUCUGGCCACAGACCUCAAGUAGCUCCUAAAGAUCUGUGCUUUCCAUUGAGUGACUAUAGACACAUCCUGACCCCUCAAGCACUCUUUCUCCAGGUGCUGGACAACUGGAGUCUCCCUGCUCAGGAUUUUUCCCCCAGCCCUUGAGGGAAAGAAGUGGACCCCUCUGUUAUCAUUCCCUAAAGAGGAUCCAAUCCUCCAGGCACUUUGCAUUUCCUACCCAUGUGCCUAGUGCCUGAGCCAAAUGCUACCUGGGAAUGGCCCCAGGCCAGGGAGGCAGCUGAAAUUCCUGUUUCUGAUCACUCCAUGGGAAGCACCAAACCUUGGCUUUCCUCCACCUGCUGGGAGCUUUAUUACCUUUGCAUAUGAAUGUCUCAUGUAACUUUCUGGAUUAAAACAAGUGUAUUAAGAUCCAGUAUGAAUCUGGGUGCACCACCAAAUAAAUUCUCCACCCAUAAGCCUUGAUUUCACUGUGACCCUUUCCUUCUGGCCUCUGUCUCAUUAGCAAAUUGAUUGUGCUUCCUCCUCUCACUGCCUGAUACAGCACUCCUCCCCAGGUGUUCACGCUGUCACUCCAGUGCUGGGCUCAGUAGUCAUUUUACAAACACUUGUUAAAUUAACUAAUGAAGGAAGGAAUCACUAAAUGGAUGUAUGAAUGUGAAGAAUGUAUGAGUGAAUGAAAGAAUAUCUCUUAUUAGUAUAGAGGGUCCCAGUUGAGUCUAAAUGGGAUUCAGAGUUUGUCUUUGUUGGAAUAGUGGAUGCUGCUCCUUUCCCCUGAGAUGAUCUGCGUGGAGGAGAGGAGGUCUUUUCUCUCAGAGCCUAGGAAGGGAGCAAACGGGUGGUCUUCGUGCCCAUCGAGGCCCCAGAGCAGGAGUCAACCCAGAGAGAGGGAAGUGAGUCUAAAAGGAACUCUGUUCCUGGGAUGUUCUGUAAGACAAAAAUGGAAAUUGCACUGCUUCUGAGACAGUGUGACUCAGCAUGGGGUGAGGAGCACUCUCUCCAUUACUGGGCUCUGUUACUGGGAGUCAACCACUCACAGAUUUCACAGCUUUGCUUCUGCACAGGGCGGAACAGAAGGGAGCUUCCUCAACCUGGUAAAGGGCAUCCACCCAACCCUCAGCCGACAUCACAUGGCAGGGUGAAAGCCUGGAUGUUUUCCCUCUAAUAUCGCAACAAGAAAAGGAUGCCCACAUUCACUACUUCUAUCCAACAUUGCACUGAAGUCCUUGCCACGGUAAAAAGGCAACAAAAAGAGAUGAAAGGCAUCCAGGUUGGGAAGGAAGAAGUAAAACUGUCUCUAUUCACAGAAGACAUGAUCUUGUAUAUAGAAAAUCCCAAGGAACACACAGACACACACACAACUAUUAGAGCUAAUAUGUGAACCCAGCAGGUUGCAGGAUACAACACCAAUAUACAAAAAUCAGUUGUAUUUCUACACACCAGCAAUGAGCCAUCAAAAUUUAAAUCAAGAAAGCAGUCUCUUCAAAAAGAACAAAAUGCUUAAGAAUAAACUUAACAAAAGAAGGGAAAGACUUGUGCACUGCAAACUGUGAACAUUGGUGAAAGGAGUGAAAGAAGCCCAGGAGAAAUGGGAGGAUGCCGGGUGCUCACGCAUCAGGAGACUCAAUACUCUUAGGAAGACAAUACUUCAAAAAUCAAUCUGCAGAUUCAAAGCAAUCCCUAUCAAGACCCCAGGUCGCUUUUUUCAGAAACUGACAAGCUGAUCCUAGAAUUCAUAUGUAAAUUCAAGAACCCCAAAUAACCAAAACAACCUUGAAAAAGAAAACCAAAGUUGGAGGACUCACACCUCCCAAUUUCAAAAAGUAGUAUGAAGCUACAGUAACCAAGGCAGUGUGGUCCUUGCUUAAGGAAAGAUGUAGAGAUCAAUAGAAUAGAACUGCGAGUCUGGAGAUAAACUCUCACAAUUAUGGCCAAUUGAUUUUCAACAAGAAUGCUGAAGCGAUUCAAUGGGAAGAGUCUUUUCAACAAAUGGUGCUGAAACUACUAGAUAUCGACGUGCAAAAGAAUGAAGUAAUGAAGGUGGACCUUUACCUCAUAUUACAUAUAUUGAAAAAAAAUCCUCUAAAUGGAUCAAUGACCUAAUUGUAAAAGCCAAAAUGAUAAACUAUAAAACUCUUAGAAGGAAACCUGGUUAAGUCUUUGUGACCUUGGAUUAGAUAAUAGCUCUUAGAUAUGACACCAAAAGCAUGGGGAAAAAAAAGAAAAACUAGAUAUUUUGGACUCCAUUGAAAUUAAAAAUUUUUGUCCUUCAACGGACACUAUCAAACAAUGAAAAGACAACCCUCAGACUGAGAGAAAAUAUUUGAAAAUCAUAUACUUGACAAUUGACUUGUAUCCAGAAUACAUAAAGAACUCUUACUACUCAAAAAUAAAAAGACAAAACCCAAUUAAAAACUUAGCAAAGGAUUUGAAUAGGAUUCCUCCAAAGAAGAUACACAAAUGGCUAAUAAGCACAUGAAAAGAAGCUCAACAUCAUUAGGCAACAGGGAAAUGCACGCCAAAACCACAAUUCAUACCACCUCUCACCCCCUAGGAAGGCUAUGGCCCAAAAGACAGACAGUAGGGGCUGGCCCCAUGGCCUAGUGGUUAAGUUUGGCACACUCUGCUUUGGCGGCCCAGGUUUGGUUCCCGGGUGUGGACCUACACCACUUGUCGACAGUCAUGCUGUGCUGGAGACCCACAUACAAAAUAGAGGAAGAUUGGCACAACUGUUAGCUCAGGGUGAAGCUUUUUCAACAAGAGAAAACAAAGGACAGACAAUAACAAUUGUUGGUGAGGAUGUGGAGAAAUUUUGGAGCACCUGUGCACUGCUGAUAAGAAGAGAAAAUGGCGCAGCUACUUUGAAAACCGUUUUGGCAGUUCCUCAAAUGUUAAAUAUAAAGUUAGCACAAGAUCCAGAAAUUCUACUGCUAGGCAUAUACCCAAGAGAAUUGGAAACACACGUCACACAAAAAUUUGUGGGAAAUGUUCCUAGUAGCAUUAUUCAUAAUUGCCAAAAAAGUGGAAAUAUCCAAAUGUCCAUCAACCAAUGAAUGGAUAAACAAAAUGUGGUCUAUCCAUACAAUGGAAUAUUAUUCAGCCCUAAAAAGGAAUCGGAUCCACGCUACCACAUAAACAAGCUUUGAGAACCUUAUGCGAGGGAAAAGAAGCCAGACACAAAAGGCCACGGAUGAUCCGAUUCCACUUACAGGAAAUGUCCAGAAUAGGUGAAGCUAUAGAGCCAGAAAGCAGAUUAGUAUCUUCCAGGGGCUGCGUGGAAACGGAGGAGUGGACACUGCCUGGUAACAUAUAUGGAGUGUCAUUUGGGGGUGAUAAAAAUGUUCUGGAAUUAGAUGGUAGUGAUGGUUGUAUAACUUUGUGAAAAAACCACUGAGUUGUACACUUCAAAGUGUUAAUUUUAUGGUGUAUGACUUAUGUCUCUAUUUUCAAAUGCACGUGAUACGACUCUGUUUCAGGAAUAACGUGCAUAUGUUUAAGAUAGUUUUCAAUACUAAAUGAUCUUACCAGGUCACCUUGUGAUUUCCAUUGAAAA